AAUGGUGCCUGACACCUGAUUUAUGGGUCCUUCUCGUAGUGAUCACGGACCGUGUGCGCUAGGACGAAAUAAUAGUCCCUCGGGGUGGACACGUGACGGUCUAUCACUAAGGUGAGGUAGGCUAUGCCCCUCACUCUGAUCUGCUUCGGAGUCUGAGAGAGGGGUGGCCAUGUCGGUGCCGACAGAGAGGGGUUACCAGGGAGAUGUGAGUCUGGCUGUGCCCAAACCCUUAUUAAGUGCAGCUCAUUCACACACUUACUGUACCAGGGGUGUCAUUUUAAAUUGGCCCGCAUCAAAUUUCUAAAAAUUAAUUGCAGUGCAGCUCCCUGGAGAGGAGAGAGACUGCUGCUGCUAAUGUUGUUGUGCCGAAACGCCCCGCCCCCCGCUUCGAUUGGCUGGCCUGUGUGGAGACUGGGUGUGUGAGAGUGUGGACGUCACUAGAGCUGUGCCGCCCAGACACCCCCCCCCCCCUCAGCUUCACUCUGGCUGGAGUCAGACUGUGCCUGCCCUCUGUGGAGACUGGGGAGACAGCGUGUGGACGUCUCAGGAGACUCUGAGAGAGAGACUGCCUGCUGCAGUGUGCUGCCACCCACCACGACUACGAGGUCCUGUGCAUGGGAGCAGAACAGAAUGACUUACCACUUGAGUUUUGGAAGAUGCUGCAAGACAUAGAAACCAACAACUUCUCUGGCCACAUUCCUAUCAUGGACCAGCUAAAAGAUGCAAUUGGGAAACUGCAAAGUCCUUUGUAUCAGUAAUGGAAAUGAAGAGAAACUGAACUUACUGUCAGCCUCUGACCUGUUGUGAAAGAGACUGGAUAACAAUUGCAAAACAAGGGACUCCCUUCUGGGACUGGGUGGUUCAUUUGAUCUUUAUUUGCUUGAAAAUCAAGAAGCAUUAUACAUUUUAUUGAUAGGUUUCUCCUCUGGGGACACUAGAGGGGGUCAUUUACCAGUCAUGGUGCAGGUGCAAGCAGAAAUUGUGCACCCUGUAUCGUGGGUGUAGAAUGGGACAGACUAGAAUAGAAAAUACAGUAGGUCAGAAUAGGCAAGGUAUCAAGGCUAGGAUUCUUAGGCAAGGCAAUGAGUCUCGGGCAAGUCAAGGCAGAAUUAGUCAGAGCUAUGGACAGGCCACAUGACUUAGAUUACACAGCCAAUGGUAAGAACGUCAGUACAUCAAUAAAUUAGGAAGGAAGGAAACUCUUCAAAACAUGUCUUUCCAUUGCCCAUUCUUUACCUGCAAAGGUGAUAGAAAAUUGUUAUGUAUAGUAGUAAUGUCUUCUAUUAGUUUUCUUAUUUACAUGUUAAAAUAUGCAUGAAUAGAAGCCCGCUGUACAGAAACCCUUAAAAUUUACUGAAGUUUUCUUUCCAUUCUUUCAUAAGAAAAUCACAUUGUAAGUAAGGCAAAGUAUGAUGAUAGAAAUAUUUCUUUUUUUUUCUUGGCCUUCAUUUAGCAAAAAAUAGCAUUUUCAACAUGACUUACUUUCAAAUAUGGCACAAAGUGAACAAGGAAGUACUUAUGAAGUACCGUUGAAACUGAAUCUAUUGCUUUACCCCAAGGUGGUGUUUGAUUAGACAAAUUAGAACCACUUGCCGGCUGAACAUUACAUUGCCAGUGAACUGUUAUCACAUCAUUAUGCUGAUAUCAGAGAGGUGGCAGAAAAUUGUAACACAAGCUAUGAAAGGUAAAGCUAUUUCCAGGGACAUUGGCACCCCAGACAGGUGGUGUUAUUGUAGAUCAAGAAUCUCUGGUUAAGAUAAGGUAUGUAAAAGUCACAGUGUUUUCAAUGUAAAUAAGCUUUUCGGUCUGAUCUUUGAUGUUGCCCAUGGUCCAAUAAAAUGUUCUGUCAGAUCCUGAGGUUAUAUUCGAGCUAUAAAGCAAGACAGGGUAUUGGACAUUUGGGAGGUAGGAAGUAUCUGGUUACAUGAUUACUAGGAAAGGUGGAGGAACAGUGACACGGUGAACUAUUGCCCCUUCUCCCCCUGAAUGAACAGUGAGGUGUAUGCUACUCUUAUAGCUUGUUGUGCCAAUCCUGUCUGUUCACUUAGAGUUAAACUUUAGUAUAAUAUAGAGAGAUAUAUUUUGAGACAAUUUGCAAUUGUUUUUUAUUAUUUGUGAUGGCGGUAGCAGCGCAGGGGGGAGCCGGGACCCCAAGGGAGCUUGGCAUCAGACAGCAGCAGUUCCCGGGGCAGCCAGCAAGAGGGGAGACUGGGCUAGGAGGUGCCAGUGCACAGGGGCAGCCGUAAGAGAUCUACUCUACUGGCUCAAGGGCCGAUCCCAGUGUGCUGCCGUAUGCUGCUUUACUGUGACAGCAACAAGAGAGAGAGACAGGGUCGGACUGGCCUGCCAGGUACCGUGAAAAAACCCGGUGGGCCCCAACCUUGGUGGGCCCCUCGUCCCUUGCUUUAUUUAAUUUGUGACUUGCGAUGACUCAAUAAAUAAUUUAUUUUGUA
Xenopus laevis (African clawed frog) is the source of this 2453-nucleotide long non-coding RNA. RefSeq lists it as uncharacterized. Lineage: Eukaryota; Metazoa; Chordata; Amphibia; Anura; Pipidae. The record is from RefSeq and is a predicted model, not a curated record. The transcript has 2 exons.